CCAAACUUGGUCAUUUAGAGGAAGUAAAAGUCGUAACAAGGUUUCCGUAGGUGAACCUGCGGAAGGAUCAUUAUUGAAUGAACUUGGUCUAGACUGUUGCUGGUCCCUGGUUCUUUCCAGACAUGUGCACGUCUAUUCCACUUUUGUUGACCCAAUCUCUCCCAUUGUGCACUUUUUGUAAAUCUGAAUAACUUUCUCGAGGUCGAACUCGGACUGAGAAUUUGCUGGAUGUUGAUUAUCAGCUUUUCUUGUAAAUAUUUCAGAUCUAUGACUUCAUCAAAUAUACCUAUUGUUAUGAGUGUAAUGUUUGUGGGCUUAUUGGAAUUAUUACAACUUUCAACAACGGAUCUCUUGGCUCUCGCAUCGAUGAAGAACGCAGC
This 380-nucleotide unclassified non-coding RNA is filed under the name uncultured fungus. Its description in RNAcentral is "partial contains small subunit ribosomal RNA, internal transcribed spacer 1, and 5.8S ribosomal RNA". The stretch from base 1 to 73 matches the Rfam family "Eukaryotic small subunit ribosomal RNA", at positions 1759 to 1831 of the family's 1831-position model. The record is from RNAcentral. Lineage: Eukaryota; Fungi.